RNAcentral lists this ribosomal RNA (253 nucleotides) under uncultured bacterium. RNAcentral's name for it is "partial 16S ribosomal RNA". It matches the Rfam family "Bacterial small subunit ribosomal RNA", at positions 524 to 776 of the family's 1533-position model. The record is from RNAcentral.
UACGUAGGGGGCAAGCGUUGUCCGGAUUCAUUGGGCGUAAAGAGCGUGUAGGCGGCCUGGAAGGUCAGCUGUGAAAACUCGAGGCUCAACCUCGAGACGUCGGUUGAAACCACCUGGCUAGAGUCCGGAAGAGGAGUGUGGAAUUUCCGGUGGAGCGGUGAAAUGCGUAGAGAUCGGAAAGAACACCAACGGCGAAAGCACUCUGCUGGGCCGACACUGACACUGAGAGACGAAAGCUAGGGGAGCGAAUGGG